This 572-nucleotide ribosomal RNA is filed under the name Alternaria alternata. RNAcentral describes it as "eukaryotic LSU rRNA". The stretch from base 197 to 350 matches the Rfam family "5.8S ribosomal RNA". Lineage: Eukaryota; Fungi; Ascomycota; Dothideomycetes; Pleosporales; Pleosporaceae. The record is from RNAcentral.
UUCCGUAGGGUNACCUGCGGAGGGAUCAUUACACAAAUAUGAAGGCGGGCUGGAACCUCUCGGGGUUACAGCCUUGCUGAAUUAUUCACCCUUGUCUUUUGCGUACUUCUUGUUUCCUUGGUGGGUUCGCCCACCACUAGGACAAACAUAAACCUUUUGUAAUUGCAAUCAGCGUCAGUAACAAAUUAAUAAUUACAACUUUCAACAACGGAUCUCUUGGUUCUGGCAUCGAUGAAGAACGCAGCGAAAUGCGAUAAGUAGUGUGAAUUGCAGAAUUCAGUGAAUCAUCGAAUCUUUGAACGCACAUUGCGCCCUUUGGUAUUCCAAAGGGCAUGCCUGUUCGAGCGUCAUUUGUACCCUCAAGCUUUGCUUGGUGUUGGGCGUCUUGUCUCUAGCUUUGCUGGAGACUCGCCUUAAAGUAAUUGGCAGCCGGCCUACUGGUUUCGGAGCGCAGCACAAGUCGCACUCUCUAUCAGCAAAGGUCUAGCAUCCAUUAAGCCUUUUUUUCAACUUUUGACCUCGGAUCAGGUAGGGAUACCCGCUGAACUUAAGCAUAUCAAUAAGCCGGAGGA